CAGCCGCCGCGGUAAUACGUAGGCAGCGAGCGUUGUUCGGAAUUACUGGGCGUAAAGAGUGUGUAGGCGGUGCUAUAAGUUCGGUGUGAAAUCUCCCGGCUCAACUGGGAGGGUGCGCCGAAAACUGUAGUGCUCGAACGUGGGAGAGGAAAGCGGAAUUCCUGGUGUAGCGAUGAAAUGCGUAGAUAUCAGGAGGAACACCUGCGGUGUAGACGGCUUUCUGGACCAUUGUUGACGCUGAGACACGAAAGCGUGGGUAGCAAACAGGAUUAGAUACCCCGGUAGUCCCUGUCUCUUAUAC
RNAcentral lists this ribosomal RNA (301 nucleotides) under uncultured bacterium. RNAcentral describes it as "partial 16S ribosomal RNA". It matches the Rfam family "Bacterial small subunit ribosomal RNA", at positions 509 to 807 of the family's 1533-position model. The record is from RNAcentral.